CGACCGUGAUCCGUGAGGAUUGUGGUUGAUGGGGCAGAAGUCAGCAGCGGUCGUAGUACUUGUCAGGGAUCGGCGCGGUGGUUCAUGAGACUGAACACCGGCUACAAAUGAUGGGGAAGGAC
This is a non-coding RNA of Enteractinococcus sp., 122 nucleotides long. Lineage: Bacteria; Bacillati; Actinomycetota; Actinomycetes; Micrococcales; Micrococcaceae. The record is from Rfam.